CGGCGGCGGCGAGGUCACGGACGAUCUCCGCACGAUCGAUGAGAUGGCGUUGCCCGGAGUGGACUGCCACCGCCGAGGUGGCCUCCUCAGCCGGCGACCACGUGAUCCGCCGCUCGGGCUCGUCCGACGUGUUCUGCAAUUCGGAUUUACGCUCCGCAUUUAAGAGAGAGAGAGAGAGAGAAGAGAAGAGCGAGCUACAGAGCUAGAGAGAACUGGUAGAGAGAGAGAGGCCCGAACCCGGUUUUUACGGCCCAGAGAGCCCGGCAAGUGAAGGGCAGCAGGGUACUCGGCUCAAGAAAAGGGGGGGCUGCGGGGGCUCGUGCUGCUGGGGUCAACGAGUCUUUGGGGAGCCCCUGGCGUGGCUUUGCCGCGUCCAGGUGGUCAACGAGGCGCCGACCAUGGUGUCACGAACGAGCGCGGGGAAAGAUAGAUGCCACUGCCACGGGAGAGAUCGGAUGCCAGAAUCAGGCCCGCAGAUCCCUCGGCGGCGCUGAGCAACCCAGAUAUGGUCGGAGCAUGCGAGAUUACCGGC
Molecule: long non-coding RNA, 532 nt
Filed under: Spirodela polyrhiza (greater duckweed)
Lineage: Eukaryota; Viridiplantae; Streptophyta; Magnoliopsida; Alismatales; Araceae
Description: long non-coding RNA (SPOL_LNC002617)
Source: RNAcentral